CUUCCCUGCACCAUUCCCCCACUCCCAUCUCUCUCCAUCCGGGAGAUUUAACGGUACCGUUUUAAUUUUUAGAGGGUGCGGGCAAGGGUCAACAGUCAAUCGCUCCAGCUGAAAUUUAAGGGAACUCUUUUCAUUGGCCAGGGAACUUGGAGAAGGUGGGAAUUCCUCCCAGGUUAAAAAGCCCUGUCGCCCUCAUCUGUGUGGAUUUCCCUUCUGGGGUGCCCUUCCACAUACUCUCUUUCUCCUGGAAGCUUUCUCUCUUCCUCUCCUUUUUCUAUUUUUCUGCCUAAAUAAAUCACUUUCUGAAAACAGUGUUUUGGGGUGGGGUAUUUACUUUAUGAGCACACUGCACCAUGGUCUCCUCUCCCAUUCUUGGAUAAGUAAUAAACCAAAAACCUGGAAAAACGUCCUCUCGGGAGCCAAGGGCUCCCCUGAACCCCAACAUUACAUUUGGUGGGCCAGCCAGGAGAAGAAGACUUCAAACCGGAGAAGACUCUCACCAGAUGCAACCCCUCUAACUUAGACUUCCCAGCCUCCAGAAGGGUAAGCCAGAAAAAUUUAUAUUGUUUAUAAAUUACCCAGCCUGUGGUAUUCUGUUACACUAGCACAAAAUAAACUAAGACAAACUCUAAAAUAUAGUGAACAAAAACUAAACAAAACUUUGAAUGGGCACAACAGCAUGACAGAGAGGCAGAGAAAAGAAUUAGUGACCAUACCGAUUGCCUAAUCUGAACUACAGAAAUAAAAGUAAAAUGAGAUAAAAUAGAAAGAGAGAGCCUUGGGGACUAUGGGACUAUAGCAAAAUAUCUAAAAUGCAUGCUAUCGGAAUUCCAAAAGGAGUAAAGGAAAUGGACAGGGCUUUAAAGUAUUCAAAUAAUGACUAAAAACUUCCCAAAUUUUAAAUAAUGAC
Molecule: long non-coding RNA, 910 nt
Filed under: Callithrix jacchus (white-tufted-ear marmoset)
Lineage: Eukaryota; Metazoa; Chordata; Mammalia; Primates; Cebidae
Description: lncRNA (ENSCJAG00000081334.1)
Source: RNAcentral